RNAcentral lists this ribosomal RNA (388 nucleotides) under uncultured bacterium. Its description in RNAcentral is "bacterial SSU rRNA". It matches the Rfam family "Bacterial small subunit ribosomal RNA", at positions 29 to 414 of the family's 1533-position model. The record is from RNAcentral.
AUUGAACGCUGGCGGCAUGCCUAACACAUGCAAGUCGAACGGCAGCACAGCAGUAGCAAUACUGUGGGUGGCGAGUGGGCGGACGGGUGAGGAAUACGUCGGAAUCUGCCCAGUCGUGGGGGAUAACUAGCCGAAAGGUUAGCUAAUACCGCAUACGACCGAGAGGUGAAAGCGGGGGACCGCAAGGCCUCGCGCGAUUGGAUGAGCCGACGUCGGAUUAGCUAGUUGGCGGGUAAAGGCCCACCAAGGCGACGAUCCGUAGCUGGUCUGAGAGGAUGAUCAGCCACACUGGAACUGAGACACGGUCCAGACUCCUACGGGAGGCAGCAGUGGGGAUAUUGGACAAUGGCGCAAGCCUGAUCCAGCAAUGCCGCGUGUGUGAAGAAGG